Pseudophryne corroboree (corroboree frog) is the source of this 266-nucleotide long non-coding RNA. RefSeq lists it as uncharacterized. The transcript is spliced from 2 exons. The record is from RefSeq and is a predicted model, not a curated record. Lineage: Eukaryota; Metazoa; Chordata; Amphibia; Anura; Myobatrachidae.
ACUUGGAGGCACUGCUCAUUUCACUAGAUGAUACACCCCUGAGGAAGUCUAUCUGACGAAACGUGUUGGGUAUUCUAUUAUGCUUUGAUAUAACCUCCAACCUGUAUCAUUGGAAGGAGGAUCUCAUGAAAGAAGCAAUCUGUUCAUCUGUGAGAAAUCAAACAUCCAUGUUAUGUGAGGAGGUUGUCACCUGUUAAUGCAUCUAAGGAUAUAAGGACAUAAUUGAUAUUUUAGCAAUGUUUUAAUAAAAAAUCUGUAUAUUGGAA